Long non-coding RNA from Triticum aestivum (bread wheat), 389 nucleotides. RefSeq lists it as uncharacterized. The transcript has 4 exons. NCBI's taxonomy places the organism in Eukaryota, Viridiplantae, Streptophyta, Magnoliopsida, Poales, Poaceae. The record is from RefSeq and is a predicted model, not a curated record.
AUAUGUGAUGUCAACCCUCAAGGACCUCCUCCCCCUCCUGGCUGUACACGGCAUCCUCCGCCACCUCCUCCCCCGCAUGCUCCUCCCAAUGGCCCUACAGGCAGCACUCAGGGGGCUCGUCGUCUAGGUGAUGCCAACCCUCAAAGACCUCCUCCCCCGCCAGGCCCAACUAGCAGUGCCCUUUGUGCUACUCCCAAUGGACCUACAGGCAGGACUCAGGGGGCUCAUAACCCAGGCGACUACAAUCCAAGUACCAUAACAGGCCGUGCUACUGCAGGUGAUCGUGACGGUCCUACUGCCCCGUUGGAGGCUGCAUCCCUUGCACAAGCUUCUGAUGAUUUUGUGCCCAGGGAUCCUCCAAGGUCUACUACAAAGGGUAGGGCAAAGAG